AUUGAACGCUGGCGGCAUGCCUUACACAUGCAAGUCGAACGGUAACAGGUCUUCGGAUGCUGACGAGUGGCGAACGGGUGAGUAAUACAUCGGAACGUGCCUAGUAGUGGGGGAUAACUACUCGAAAGAGUGGCUAAUACCGCAUGAGAUCUACGGAUGACAGCAGGGGAUCGCAAGACCUUGUGCUACUAGAGCGGCCGAUGGCAGAUUAGGUAGUUGGUGGGAUAAAAGCUUAUCAAGCCGACGAUCUGUAGCUGGUCUGAGAGGACGAUCAGCCACACUGGGACUGAGACACGGCCCAGACUCCUACGGGAGGCAGCAGUGGGGAAUUUUGGACAAUGGGCGAAAGCCUGAUCCAGCAAUGCCGCGUGCAGGAUGAAGGCCUUCGGGUUGUAAACUGCUUUUGUACGGAACGAAAAGCCCCGGGUUAAUACGCUGGGGUCAUGACGGUACCGUAAGAAUAAGCACCGGCUAACUACGUGCCAGCAGCCGCAGUAA
RNAcentral lists this ribosomal RNA (498 nucleotides) under uncultured bacterium. RNAcentral describes it as "partial 16S ribosomal RNA". It matches the Rfam family "Bacterial small subunit ribosomal RNA", at positions 30 to 523 of the family's 1533-position model. The record is from RNAcentral.